UACGGAGGAUGCAAGCGUUAUCCGGAAUUAUUGGGCGUAAAGCGUCCGCAGGUGGUUUUGAAAGUUUGCUGUCAAAGCGCGGAGCUUAACUUCGUACCGGCAGUGAAAACUCCAAGACUAGAGUUUGGUAGGGGUCACGGGAAUUCCCAGUGUAGCAGUGAAAUGCGUAGAGAUUGGGAAGAACACCAGCGGCGAAAGCGCGUGACUGGGCCUGAACUGACACUCAUGGACGAAAGCUAGGGGAGCGAAAGGG
Molecule: ribosomal RNA, 253 nt
Filed under: uncultured bacterium
Lineage: Bacteria
Description: partial 16S ribosomal RNA
Rfam family: Bacterial small subunit ribosomal RNA
Source: RNAcentral